This is a non-coding RNA of Mycena rosella, 97 nucleotides long. Lineage: Eukaryota; Fungi; Basidiomycota; Agaricomycetes; Agaricales; Mycenaceae. The record is from the annotation of a GenBank genome assembly.
AAUUCGGUGGUGAAGGCAUCACAUCCGCCCCAUAUAUUUGGUGUGCAUUCGGCUGGAUAUUCCGCGGAAGGAGUCCGUUCGACCCGGGCCCGAGUUA